GUUCCGUAGGUGAACCUGCGGAAGAAUCAUUAAAGUUAUAGUCCCCCGGCCCUCUGGGCUGGGGUCUUCUAUACCACCCUUUGUUUAUUACACCUUUGUUGCUUUGGCAGGCCUGCCCUCGGGCUGCUGGCUCCGGCCGGCUCGCGUCUGCCAGAGGACCUAAACUCUGUUUGUAUAUGAAGUCUGAGUACUAUAUAAUAGUUAAAACUUUCAACAACGGAUCUCUUGGUUCUG
This 234-nucleotide unclassified non-coding RNA is filed under the name plant metagenome. RNAcentral's name for it is "partial contains small subunit ribosomal RNA, internal transcribed spacer 1, and 5.8S ribosomal RNA". The record is from RNAcentral.